GCUGAACGGCGUGGCGGCGUGCCUAAUAGAUGCAAGUCGAGCGAACUCUGGUAACUGAAUGAAGGUGCUUGCACCUGAGUGAUGAUACAUUUGAGUGAGCGGCGGAUGGGUGAGUAACACGUGGGUAACCUGCCCUAAAGUGGGGGAUAACAUCUGGAAACAGGUGCUAAUACCGCAUAACAACAACUUCCACAUGGAGGAUGUUUGAAAGAUGGUUCUGCUAUCGCUUUAGGAUGGACCCGCGGCGUAUUAGUUAGUUGGUGAGGUAACGGCUCACCAAGACGAUGAUACGUAGCCGACCUGAGAGGGUAAUCGGCCACAUUGGGACUGAGACACGGCCCAAACUCCUACGGGAGGCAGCAGUAGGGAAUCUUCCACAAUGGACGAAAGUCUGAUGGAGCAACGCCGCGUGAGUGAAGAAGGUUUUCGGAUCGUAAAACUCUGUUGUUGAAGAAGAACAUGCGUGAGAGUAACUGUUCAUGUAUUGACGGUAUUCAACCAGAAAGCCACGGCUAACUACGUGCCAGCAGCCGCGGUAAUACGUAGGUGGCAAGCGUUAUCCGGAUUUAUUGGGCGUAAAGCGAGUGCAGGCGGUUUAUUAGGUCUGAUGUGAAUGCCCUCGGCUCACCGAGGAAGUGCAUCGGAAACCGGUAAACUUGAGUGCAGAAGAGGAGAGUGGAACUCCAUGUGUAGCGGUGGAAUGCGUAGAUAUAUGGAAGAACACCAGUGGCGAAGCGGCUCUCUGGUCUGUACUGACGCUGAGGCUCGAAGCGUGGGUAGCAAACAGGAUUAGAUACCCUGGUAGUCACGCCGUAAACGAUGAGUGCUAGUGA
Molecule: ribosomal RNA, 833 nt
Filed under: uncultured Lactobacillus sp.
Lineage: Bacteria; Bacillati; Bacillota; Bacilli; Lactobacillales; Lactobacillaceae
Description: bacterial SSU rRNA
Rfam family: Bacterial small subunit ribosomal RNA
Source: RNAcentral